This 656-nucleotide long non-coding RNA is filed under the name Mytilus galloprovincialis (Mediterranean mussel). The record is from RNAcentral. Lineage: Eukaryota; Metazoa; Mollusca; Bivalvia; Mytilida; Mytilidae.
AUUUAUUAUCAGAACCACAACUUUCACCUUCAAAUGACAUAACAUUAAUUUUUGAUAUAACAUAAAGAAAAUCAUUGUUCAACAUUAUUAAAAACAAUAUCUUAUAAGGAUGGUUUAUAGUGCUUUUUGGUGUGUAACUUAAUAUGGUUAUGUCAAAACUUUUCUUCAAUGUAAUAUGAUAUUCACAAUGGAACAGAUAAAAUUUAAGAUUGGUACAGAUUAUCAAUUCUGUAGUAAUCACAAAAGACAUGAUAUCAUAUACAGUAUUUCAAAUUCCUGACAAAUCAUUUUGAGUGCUCCCAAUUUUCCAUGAUGUUGUAUAAUUGUGAAUUAUUUAAAGACAAGGAGGACAUAUGAAUGGCAUCAAAUACAAGUUAAAUGUUGUUAUAAAUAUCUUAACAAAUUUCUGACUUGUGUUACAAUCCUUAUAUGUGAUACAGUUUUAUUGCUGGUUUUCAAAUCAGGAUGAAAAUCAUUCAUAAUAGAAACACAAAUAAUACCAAUAUAUAAAUAUGUGUAUCAAGUUCACAUGUGUAGUUUUCAAAAGAAUUAUAAGACCAUGAUGACAUCACUUCUAAACUGGUUUCAUUUGGAGAACAAACUGAGCUGUAUCAAUGGAAUAACUUGUAAUGUUGUUAGAUCUGCUAACACAGCCU